UUCCUAAUAGCUCAGUUGGUAAAGAAUCCACCUGCAAUGUAGGAGACCAGGUUCGAUUCCUGGUUUGGGAA
This 71-nucleotide transfer RNA is filed under the name Bos taurus (domestic cattle). It matches the Rfam family "tRNA". Rfam says of the family: Transfer RNA (tRNA) molecules are approximately 80 nucleotides in length. Lineage: Eukaryota; Metazoa; Chordata; Mammalia; Artiodactyla; Bovidae. RNAcentral also lists the same sequence under 3 other names. The record is from Rfam by way of RNAcentral.